UCAUAACAUACAGAAUAUGUAUUAAUUAACUGUGUAUGUUAUCAGCAAGGCUUCUGGUCAACAGUCGGCUAUUAGUAGUUAGGUUUUGGGGAGUCAAAGUCAUAUGCAGAUUUUCAACUGCACGGAGUUUGGUAUCUCUAACCUCUGCAUUGUUUAAGUCAACUGUAUACCCACCCCUCACUUUACAAAAUUUCAAUUUAUAAUUUUUCAAUUUCGCAAAGAUUUCAAAUAGAAAUGAACAUUAAUGUUAAUGAUACACAUAUUGUUAGGUACUACGGAUAUUGUGAUUACAUGUUGACGGUGAGUUUAAUAUUUAAUAUUUAUUAAGUAUUUAGUUGGCAACAGGCAUUGUUCUUGGCAGGCACUUUACAUGAUUUCAUUUUGUCCCCACAAGUGACCAGGAUUUCCAUUUGCAGAUAUGGAAAUCAAGGUCUUCUAAUUUGCCCCAAGUCAGAGAGCUCUCAGAGACUAUUUGGGCAAGAGUAUUUAUUUAUUUGUAGGCUUUGGAGAGGGAAUGCUUUAUAAUCUUGUUUCCAGUCUCCUUCCACCACCUCUAAGCCUGUCUCCCAUGUGCAUAAAUCAUUCUGGCUACACCCAAGAAAUCAGGUUUGUCCUACAGUCCAUACUCCAUUCCAUGAUUUGUAUUCGAAGUGCUGUUUUAUAACUAUUACCCAGUGGGAUCCGGCAAUGUUUUGUAUAAAUAUACUCAGUGCCCACCUACAACCAAACACUGGCUGUUCCAUAAAUAUUUGAGGAAAUGAAAUUCUAAGUAGUGUCAUGACCACACUUUUCCAAAUAUUUAAAUUUCACCUUUUCUCUCAUCAGAUUUCUCCUCUGAGUUUGAGUGCAGAUGCAAAAUGUUAGAUUUCUUUGUAUUUAAAACUAAGGUAGAAAAUUUGAAUUACAGUGGAUUUAAAUUCAAUGGGUCAUGGAAAAAUGCCCAAUAUUUAACAGAGAUUUCGAGUCUCAAUAAUAGUAAGCAUUAGCUUUACUUAUAGAUUUUAUUUAAUAUAUUUCAGUAUUACAAAAAAAAAGAGAGAGAGAGAGAGAGAAGGUAUAUAAAACUGAAUUCAAGGUUUAAGUCCUUAGAAAAACUGGUAGCGCAAGUGAUGUAGUUCUUAGACUUCCCAGCAGGGGCCAGAAUGUUCAUAUUAAAUCUAAUUAAUGAAACUUUUUCCUCUAAUUAAAGGUGGUAUCUAAUUUUUAAACCAAUACCCAAAAGAAGUCAACUAGAACUUUCUAUGGUUAAAAUUACUAAAAACUACUGACUUACUAAUUUGAAAUUUCAAGAAUGUAAGUAUAUAAUUCAAAAUAUUGAAAAUGAGUUUAACAGAAAUAGUGACAUCCUCUAACAAAAGGCUGACCCCCAGUAUCUGAGCAAAUGAACAUUCAAAGUAUGUUUAGUUAGUAGACACUAAAACUCCUAUACUAAUUGCCAAAUACAGGUCAUUGGGUCUUUCAGUUGCCAAGCCAGACCAUGGACCGGUUCCAAGAACAAAGGGCACCACUGUGGCAUUGACCCAGGAAAUUGAGCACUGACCUUAUUUGUUAAUUUUAGAACAUUAAAAAAAAAUUCUAACUCAAUAUAAAAGAAGUACUUGGUGCUUCAAAAGUAUUUCAAGACAAAUUGCCUUUGUAAAUCAGAUAAGCUUUUUAAAAUUUAAUUCUAAUUUAAGUAAUGUAACCUUUCUCUGGGCCCCAGUUUUUCCAUCUAUUCAUAAACAGAUUAGAUAUAAUAAUCUUAAAAUUUUUAUGUUUCUAAAAUUCAGAGUUUUUUUCCUUAGGCAAAAAGCAUCAUUUUCCCCCUUGUUUCCAAUUCCUGGCAUUGUAUCCAUCAUAUAUCAGACGCUAAUACAUGAUCAAUGAACAAAUAAAUGAACAAAUGACCAAAUGAAUACAUUUUUUUGAAGAGUUCUUUCUAGGAAUUUACAAAAGAAUCUGGAAACAGAAUGCUUCUGAAAGCCAAUACUCCAUGAAUUAUGGAAAAAAUGCUUUAGGCAAUUCCAAAAAAAUAAGAAAACAUUUUCUGAAUACUCUUGAACUGAAUUUUUCUAAGGCUAUCACUACUUCUAAGACACCAACUGAAUAAAAAAGGAACUAAAAAUUUUUUAAGUGUUUUAAGACUUUACAUUUUAAAACCUAAGUCUGAAAAAGUCAAAUUAUUUUUUUAUUUCCAGAAACAUGCUCUUUAUUGACCUUAUUAUGGUUUCUAAAGGUGCCCCAAAACAACACCAUGAACAUUGCAAGAUUUUUCUCUCAGGAAGCAGUUGUUUACUAGAAAGCUUCACUCAAUAAUAAAGGUAAAGAUUUUAAAACUAAAGACAGGUCUUUGCCAGUUUAAUCUAUCUUGUCGUCUGGUCUGGAAACCAUGUGUUUGCUCUAAAGUAAAUAAAAACAUCGUGGAGGAAAGCAGUUAUCAAAAAUAAUGAAAAUUAACUUCUUAUACAUACUAUGUUUCUCAUUUGUGAAUUUUAAAACUCUGACUUCAUUAAAUUUUGUAGGUGGAAGUUUGUGCCUUCUUAAUCCAGGGAGGUGGGCAACGUGCGGAAGCGUAGGCUGACCACGAGGGUGUGGACUGUAGUGAACUGGAGAGCCCCACUGAGGCCUGGUAUAACUUACAUCGGGCUGUUUGAAACAUUCCUACGUGCUGUCUCACUGCAUGUGCAUUCAACAUAAACAGAAAAUUUAGCUCCCGUAAAAAGGGAUAAAUUUGUGACAGACUUUUUCCGAACUAAGCCACUGUCUUCAGGCAAAGAAUUUAAGUAGCUAUGCUUCUUUAGGAAAUUGUUUGGGUCAGGUUCUCAAGCUUGAAUGAUGGAAAGAUACCUUUCAAAGGAAAAACAAAAAAACAAAAAAACAUUCUUGAGACCUGCCAUGAAUCAAAGUUAACCCCUAUUACCUUAGGUGGCACUUGAUUAUAGUAAAACUCAACUGUAAAUACUGUAUUUGCAGACUGUAGAAAAUGAAGACACGGAGGUAGUAUUCAGAUGCAAGGUGGCUAUAUGAAUGCCCUAAAAUAUGCAUGGAGAAUUAAGUGUCAUGGAAUUAUUGAUGGAAUUCACAGAUGCCCCUGGGAGCUAAGGAACUUUUUAAGAUAAUAUUCUGGGACAUAGGUUGACUUGCAGCCCACCUCGGCUGUCUGCUCACAGAGCUAUGCCUCUCUAGGUAAAACUGAAGGGAUAAACUCUAUCCCAGUUCUGGGGGAAAGCUCCUUCCUGUUCAAAUAAAGAAGAAAGCAGGUAGAGAAGGAUCACGGAGAAACUUAGUAAUUUACAGAAAAGAAUGCAAAGGAGAAGGUGAAGACAUAUACUCAGUUCUCAGUUCUCUCCAAGGCAACAAGGAUGGUUCUACCUUUGACUUGCUUAAACACACACACACACACUGCUCUUUUGAGGUUUCUUUUCUCUUUUCUGACUACCUUUGAUGCUCCUGAAAAUCAGUUUGACCUGAAUAUGACCUGUGCUGGGUAAGGGUCCUGAUCUUAUUUUUUAUUUUUAUUUUUUUAGUAGGUUCCAUGCCUGGCCUAACGCAGGGCUUAAGUUCCAGCUCUGAGAUCAAUAUCUAAGCUGAGAUCAAGAGUCAGACACUUAGCUGACUGAGCCACCAGGAGGCCCUGGCCUUAAGGUCUUCAAUAGCGGUGUCAGAUGCAACAUGGCCAUGGCCACUCCUUAGCAAGGUCCUCAUUACGUGUCUAUGGGAAGCCAUAAUCGUUAAAUGCAAAAGCUCUACUGGAAUGUUCAAAAUGCUCAUUGCUCUACCAGAGAACUAACUACCAGAGGUGGAAAGACACAGGGACUUGUGACACCAGCCUCCCCUACCAGUUUGUGUAAGAGGGACCCCAGGAGAAAUAUCAUAAACCAUAGUCAGAGCAAACUAAAAACACAACCAGAGUCACUUAGGCUAUAAAUAACUACCUAUAUCUCGUGAAAAAUUGGGAGGUUGAAGUUUCUUGUAGUUAAGGAGACAUUCAUCCAUUUAUUACUUUAAUUACUAAGGCAAUACCCUUUUCCAACCUAAAUAUGUGCUAGGUGUUGGACCAAGAGCUAAAGACACAAAAAUGAACAAAAUAAUUCCUGCCUUUAAAGUGCUCAUAGUGCUCUGCGGGAUGGAGGAUAGAGGCAGGGAGACAAGCAAGGGGAAAAAAGCAAGCAACUGAAAAUAGUAAUGAUAGAUGUGGGCAUAACAUAGACACUAUUAGCACUGAGUCUCUGAGUCAGGCAUCUUUUUUUCCAAUGGAAAAAUGAGGAAGCUAAAUUAUAACUAUUUUGAUUCUUUGUAUUUCAAAUUUAUAAUAAAUAUAAAUUUAUUUAUUUAUUUAUUAUAUAUAAUAUAUAUAAAAUAAAUAACAUAUAAUAAUAUAUAUAAAAUAAAUAAUAUAUAAAAUAAAUAUAUAUAAAUAUAAAUAAAUAUAUAUUAUAUUAUAAAUUUAUUACAAGGGAUCCCUGGGUGGCGCAGCGGUUUGGCGCCUGCCUUUGGCCCAGGGCGCGAUCCUGGAGACCCGGGAUCGAAUCCCACAUCGGGCUCCCG
RNAcentral lists this long non-coding RNA (4527 nucleotides) under Canis lupus familiaris (dog). RNAcentral describes it as "lncRNA (ENSCAFG00805019078.1, ENSCAFG00845024490.1)". The record is from RNAcentral. Lineage: Eukaryota; Metazoa; Chordata; Mammalia; Carnivora; Canidae.